Molecule: long non-coding RNA, 955 nt
Filed under: Brassica napus (rape)
Lineage: Eukaryota; Viridiplantae; Streptophyta; Magnoliopsida; Brassicales; Brassicaceae
Description: long non-coding RNA (BNAP_LNC026800)
Source: RNAcentral
AAACAUCAAAGUAAACCCUAAACCCUAAAUCGAAACUUAAAACAUCAACUCUAAACCCUAAAACAUGAAACAUCAAUUCGAAACCCUAAACCCCGAAACAUCAACUCUAAACCCUAAACCCUAAACCUUCAAAUCUAAACUCUAAAUUCUAAACGUAAACCCUAAACCCUAAACACUAUAUUUUUCUAAAAUUCGAACCCUAAACCCUAAAACCCUAAACCUUCAAAUCUAAACCUUAAAACAUCAACUCUAAACCCUAAAUGUAAACCCUAAACCCAAAAACCCUAAACCUUCAAAUCUAAACCCUAAAACAUCAACUCUAGGGUUUAGGGUUUAGGGUUUACGUUAUUUAGGGUUUACGUUUAGGGUUUAGAAUUGAAGGUUUAGGAUUUAGGGCUUAGAGUUGAUGUUUUAGGGUUUAGGGUUGUAGUUUAGGGUUUAAGGUUUAGAGUUGAUGUUUUAGGGUUUAGAGUUGAAGGUUUAGGAUUUAGGGUUUAGAGUUGAUGUUUUGGGGUUUAGGGUUCAGAGUUGAUGUUUCAAGGUUUUAGGGUUUAUGUUUAGGGUUUAGAGUUUAAGGUUUAGGGUUUAGGGCUUAGAGUUGUUGUUUUAUGGUUUAGGGUUAAUUUUUUAGGCUUUAGGGUUUAAAGUUUACUUUUUAAGGUUUAGAGUUGAUAGUUUAGGGUUUUGUAUUGAUGGUUUAGGGUUUAGAGUUGAAGUUUAGGGUUUAGGGUUUAAAGUUGAUGUUUAGGGUUUAGUGUUGAAGGUUUAGGGUUUAGGGUUUAGGGUUUAGGGUUUAGAGUUGAUGUGUAUCUAAUGAAUUUUUAUCUGGACAUUUUUCUUUUCCUUGUUAACCAUCCCAUGUUGUUCCUAUGUACUCGAGUGGUGAUACAAAAUCAUGGCUUAGCAACACCGUUAAUCGAAAAAUUUCAGCUGUUCAUGUUUCUUGUUUAGAAAC